Molecule: ribosomal RNA, 969 nt
Filed under: Agelas sp. KY118
Lineage: Eukaryota; Metazoa; Porifera; Demospongiae; Agelasida; Agelasidae
Description: SSU rRNA
Rfam family: Eukaryotic small subunit ribosomal RNA
Source: RNAcentral
GUCUCAAGACUAAGCCAUGCAUGUCUAAGUAUAAACGCUUCUAUACUGUGAAACUGCGAAUGGCUCAUUAAAUCAGUUAUAGUUUAUUUGAUGGUUCCUUACUACUUGGAUAACCGUAGUAAUUCUAGAGCUAAUACAUGCAGAAAGUCCCGACUUCUUGGAAGGGAUGUAUUUAUUAGAUCCAAAACCAGCGCGAGUUUCCUUCGGGGGCUCGGUUGCAUGGUGAUUCAUGAUAACUGCUCGAAUCGCAUGGCCUUGCGCCGGCGAUGAUCCAUUCAAAUUUCUGCCCUAUCAACUUUCGAUGGCAAGGUAGUGGCUUGCCAUGGUGACAACGGGUGACGGAGAAUUAGGGUUCGAUUCCGGAGAGGGAGCCUGAGAAACGGCUACCACAUCCAAGGAAGGCAGCAGGCGCGCAAAUUACCCAAUCCCGACUCGGGGAGGUAGUGACAAUAAAUAACAAUGCUGGGCUAUCGUAGUCUGGCAAUUGGAAUGAGUACAAUCUAAACCCCUUAACGAGGAACAAUUGGAGGGCAAGUCUGGUGCCAGCAGCCGCGGUAAUUCCAGCUCCAAUAGCGUAUAUUAAAGUUGUUGCAGUUAAAAAGCUCGUAGUUGGAUUUCGGGGCAGCCCGGCUGGUCCGUCGCGAGGCGAGUACUGGUCGGCCGCCCUUCCUCUCGAAAGCCCCGACUGCUCUUCACUGCAGUGGUCGGGGAGUUCGGGACGUUUACUUUGAAAAAAUUAGAGUGUUCAAGGCAGGCCAUCGCCUGAAUACAUUAGCAUGGAAUAAUGGAAGAGGACCUCGGUCCUAUUUUGUUGGUUUCUAGGGCCGAAGUAAUGAUUAAGAGGGACAGUUGGGGGCAUUCGUAUUUAAUUGUCAGAGGUGAAAUUCUCGGAUUUAUGAAAGACGAACAACUGCGAAAGCAUUUGCCAAGGAUGUUUUCAUUAAUCAAGAACGAAAGUUAGGGGUUCGA